This 476-nucleotide ribosomal RNA is filed under the name Escherichia coli. RNAcentral's name for it is "bacterial SSU rRNA". It matches the Rfam family "Bacterial small subunit ribosomal RNA", at positions 1 to 473 of the family's 1533-position model. The record is from RNAcentral. Lineage: Bacteria; Pseudomonadati; Pseudomonadota; Gammaproteobacteria; Enterobacterales; Enterobacteriaceae.
AAAUUGAAGAGUUUGAUCAUGGCUCAGAUUGAACGCUGGCGGCAGGCCUAACACAUGCAAGUCGAACGGUAACAGGAAGCAGCUUGCUGCUUCGCUGACGAGUGGCGGACGGGUGAGUAAUGUCUGGGAAACUGCCUGAUGGAGGGGGAUAACUACUGGAAACGGUAGCUAAUACCGCAUAACGUCGCAAGACCAAAGAGGGGGACCUUCGGGCCUCUUGCCAUCGGAUGUGCCCAGAUGGGAUUAGCUUGUUGGUGGGGUAACGGCUCACCAAGGCGACGAUCCCUAGCUGGUCUGAGAGGAUGACCAGCCACACUGGAACUGAGACACGGUCCAGACUCCUACGGGAGGCAGCAGUGGGGAAUAUUGCACAAUGGGCGCAAGCCUGAUGCAGCCAUGCCGCGUGUAUGAAGAAGGCCUUCGGGUUGUAAAGUACUUUCAGCGGGGAGGAAGGGAGUAAAGUUAAUACCUUUGCU